AUGGCCUUACUGAAGAGCUCAGUGACUUUCAACAUGGCACCGUCAUAGGAUGCCACCUUUCAAACAAGUCACUUCAUCAAAUAUCUGCCCUACUAGAGCAUCCCAGGUCAACUGUAAGUGCUGUUAUUGUGACGGGAAAUGUUUAGGAGCAACAACAGCUCAGCCACAAAGUGUGGUAGGCCACACAAGUUCACAACACGGGUUCGCCGAGUGCUGAAGCACCUAUAGCUCGUAAAAAUGGUCUGUCUUCAGUUGCAACACUCACUACCAAGUUCCAAACUCCUUUUGGAUUUUAAAAGUAUUUUUUUAUUUAGUUAAGUUAGUGUUUUACAUUUUACAUUCUUUAUUUAUGUUAUCUAUUUAUUUAUUUUACCCCCGGAAGUUAUCGUCCAACUCGUUUUUUUCCCGGAUGAAUCCAACAUGGCUGCGUCCUUGUGAUUUACGAUACAUAUACAGUCAAGCUCCAAAACAAAUGAAAACAUGCACGUAAAAGAAGUAAUAAAGUGGAAUGUACGGGUGUCUAUGCUGUAUGCUUUCGGAAUAUGGACAAUGCUCGGCACAUACGGUUAUUAUCAGUACAUGGGGCGCAAUGAAGAAAAGUCCGUCAAAGAGAAGGAGGAGCAACCUCCAAAUCCUAGAGAAUUGACUAUCCAGAGUGCACACAUGAAAACCACCAUCGUCUACAAGGAAAACUUUGUUCCUUAUUCUACAAGGGUCUACAAUUUUGUCAGCUCGCUCAGUCGGGACUCUGCAUCGGCAUCGGCUGACAGCCAAGACAAUACAAAGUAGUGGUGAAAAAGUGAAAGCUAUAAUGAACUGAUGCCAUUGCCUGCCUAGGCUUCCACAUUUGUGAUGUGUGUAGCAAAAAUACUUAGGAAUUAACACUGUAAAAUGUACAUUGAAUAUAUCUCUGUGUAAAAUACACUGGCUGAAAUUAUUUGUCACUUGUACAAUGAAUUGAAAUACCACAGUAUCCCUCUGUUCGAGAACCCCUCUGCUAACCUAGAAACAUUCUCUACCUAGACUGUACACGGUCUCAAUGCAAAGUGUAGACAACAUCUGUCUGUUGAACUUCUAGAUAUGGCAGUGAUAACCUGUCCUGUGCAUUGCUGCUGUAUUACAUUCAGUCCAAUCAGAUUUUUGCAAACAUCUGAAGUAGGAGCAUACCUUUUAUACAACUAGCAGAGUGUCUGACAGCUGGCCUAUGCAUGCAUUUCAGCACUUCAAGAUAAAUCAAUGAAACUUCUGUCAAAUAAACUUAAUUUGUAAAUGAA
Molecule: long non-coding RNA, 1274 nt
Organism: Oncorhynchus keta (chum salmon)
Lineage: Eukaryota; Metazoa; Chordata; Actinopteri; Salmoniformes; Salmonidae
Exons: 2
Source: RefSeq, a predicted model, not a curated record